This 17-nucleotide ribosomal RNA is filed under the name Chloromonas chenangoensis. RNAcentral describes it as "partial 26S ribosomal RNA". Lineage: Eukaryota; Viridiplantae; Chlorophyta; Chlorophyceae; Chlamydomonadales; Chlamydomonadaceae. The record is from RNAcentral. RNAcentral also lists the same sequence under 5 other names.
CGACCUGAGCUCAGGCA